Long non-coding RNA from Cydia pomonella (codling moth), 2337 nucleotides. RefSeq lists it as uncharacterized. NCBI's taxonomy places the organism in Eukaryota, Metazoa, Arthropoda, Insecta, Lepidoptera, Tortricidae. The transcript has 3 exons. The record is from RefSeq and is a predicted model, not a curated record.
CCAAGCAAGUAUUUACCAGGGCCCUUAUUCGACAUGCUAAAAGUGACGUUUCGUGUUGAUUUCCAUUUGAUGUGGGAAAUAUUGUGACUUGUCGAAUUGCUAUCAUCAACACCUGUCAGUGAACAAUAUCCACACUAGAGGCGGGGCGUUGUACCGGAAUAGUUUUUGGAACAGGUUUUUUGUAAUAGACUACUUUUAGCUUGUCGAGUAUUUAAAAGUACGAACUUUGAUUUCUGAAAUAAAACAAAUAUGAAACUUUCAUCACCUCGUACCUCCAUUCUUACCGUUACUUUAAGCAAAACAAAAUUUUGUUAACAGACGGUCGUCUGGGCGUCUGUUGUAUCUAAAAAUAGUGUAAUAAUAUAUAAUAAAAAUAUGUCAAUGGAUUCAUAGCCUUCACUCAAAACGUCAUAAUAUUUCCGACCCCUACCGAAAUAAUAAGUCGAUAUUUGCAUAAAUAAUCCUUAUUUGUAAGACGCCUAAGACCGGCAAAUACGUAAACUGCCUAUUGGGGGUCAUACUCGUAAAAGUGGUAUUUUAGACGUACUUUUGGUACGAGUAACAGAGACGUACUUUUGGUACGCAGUCCCAGCUCUAGUCAGGAUUCUAGUUGUCAAAUAUAAGCGUGUCGAAUACGUAUUAGUUAACUGUCAAAUGAAAUUAGAUCAACGGUAGACUUUUUUGUCGAUGGGUAUGGCUGCCAUGUUUGGAUUUAUGACAUUUGCAAGGGGAUCCUAAGGCAGAGAGUAGUUUUUUCUGUACGAUUUUGAUUCUUCUACUCGACGCAAGAUGGAGUUAGCUGCCAAAUUCCGAUCUUGGCGUUAUAAAAAUAAACCGCAAGAACCAUGACAAUGACAUGCAGUUGCGUCGAUGUAGAUCUAUCAUAAAAACGUACAUGUGACAAUUGUCCAGGAUUUAAAAAAAUCUUGACAAUUAAUAAAUGUCAAAAAGAAAACUGAUUUAUUAUAAAAAUACAAAUUAUAUAUAAAGUUUGAUUUUAAAACCAAUGGUCGUGGGUCCUAACCCCGGCUCUUAACAAUGAACAUCUUGUAACUUGUGUGCAAAAUAUCAUUUAACUUUUACCAAUUACUUUUCGGUUAAAUAAAAUAUCACGAGGAAGAAGUAGCCCCAAUAAGGUGUUAUCAAGAAAAAAGGUCUUAACAGAUUUAUGAAUAGGCAUUGGCAGAAAAACAGGCGUCCGACCACGCAUAAUGGAGGAUUCUAUUUCUUUUAUCAUGUAGCUAUAUCUAUAUGACCUCUGCCGCCGACUUUUUCACCCGUUGGCGCCUGUGCCCAAAUCCUUCUAAGACCGAAGUUUGCUGUUUCCACCUGUCCAAUAAGCUGGCACAUAAGACCCUCAGAGUUAGAUUCCGGGGUACAGCCUUACAACAUAACUAUUCCCCAAAGUAUCUCGGUGUUACACUGGACAGAAGCCUGACAUACCGAUUGCACAUAGAGAAGCUAAAAAGUAAAAUAAGGACCAGGAUAUUUUAAUUACGAUACAUAAAUAACUACUAAAACAUGUUUUCUGCAAGAAAUUAGUUAUCUUAUUAUAUUAUAAAAUAUUUAUUAUCCAUCUGUGAUGUUUAUUUCUUGUGAAGAUAUCGAAGUUUCGCUGUGUAGCACUUAUCGAUAUAUAAUAUGAUCAAAAUCGACCCGUCCACAUCCCUAAAAAUCCACACAUACACAUUUUUACGCACAUAUACAAAACAGUAUAACCACCAAAAUGGCUACGGCUUGAGUAUUCAAAUUUGUAUUGAGAAAAGGCAACUAUAUCCUGUCUUUAUUUGCCUCUCUAUCGCUCGAAUAUGCAAUACGCAUGCACUCUUCGUCAAAAUCGGUUUCAAACUUUUUCGACUGAGUACGCGCAAUAAACGCCUAGUAGUAGUAUUUAAAUGUUUACCGUAUUCAUUUAAAGCAUCGUAGGACAAUGCCGCUAUGUAAACUGUAAGGUGGGUCUUAAAUUAGUGUGAGUUAUUUUGGCACCGGACUCAACCUUCACGUUACAAUAUUUAAAGUAUUGCGCUGUCAUAGUAACGAAAAUGAUAAACACGUCAAUCGGAGUAAACAAGUAACUAAAUGAUGCAAACAAGAAAAUAUUGCAAAAUAGGUACAUAUAUAUGUACCGAUAAUUAUUUUGUGUUAAAAAUAUGAGGCAAAUUAUACUGCCCGAUUAUACGGACUACAUAUUAAAAACGAUUAUCUUGGAAACAGUCAAUAGAUGUCGAACCACCAGCAAAGUUUUUGAAGAGGUGUACCUAGUUCCUGGUACCAACUGGAAACUGAAACUAAUAAUCUAAACUCAAGAAAAUGAAAUAUAGUCACAGAAAACUUUAA